UACGAAGGGGGCUAGCGUUGCUCGGAAUCACUGGGCGUAAAGAGCGCGCAGGCGGUCGUUUAAGUCGAAUGUGAAAGCCCCCGGCUCAACUGGGGAGGGUCAUUCGAUACUGAUCGACUUGAAGGCAGGAGAGGGAAGUGGAAUUCCGGGUGUAGUGGUGAAAUGCGUAGAUAUCCGGAGGAACACCAGUGGCGAAGGCGACUUCCUGGCCUGUUCUUGACGCUGAGGCGCGAAAGCUGGGGGAGCAAACGGG
Molecule: ribosomal RNA, 253 nt
Filed under: uncultured bacterium
Lineage: Bacteria
Description: partial 16S ribosomal RNA
Rfam family: Bacterial small subunit ribosomal RNA
Source: RNAcentral